RNAcentral lists this ribosomal RNA (787 nucleotides) under Caulobacter sp. RNAcentral describes it as "bacterial SSU rRNA". It matches the Rfam family "Bacterial small subunit ribosomal RNA", at positions 54 to 889 of the family's 1533-position model. Lineage: Bacteria; Pseudomonadati; Pseudomonadota; Alphaproteobacteria; Caulobacterales; Caulobacteraceae. The record is from RNAcentral.
CAUGCAGUCGACGGAUCCUUCGGGAUUAGUGGCGGACGGGUGAGUAACACGUGGGAACGUGCCUUUUGGUUCGGAACAACUCAGGGAAACUUGAGCUAAUACCGGAUAAGCCUUUCGAGGGAAAGAUUUAUCGCCAUUAGAGCGGCCCGCGUAGGAUUAGCUAGUUGGUGGGGUAAAGGCCCACCAAGGCUACGAUCCUUAGCUGGUCUGAGAGGAUGAUCAGCCACAUUGGGACUGAGACACGGCCCAAACUCCUACGGGAGGCAGCAGUGGGGAAUCUUGCGCAAUGGGCGAAAGCCUGACGCAGCCAUGCCGCGUGAAUGAUGAAGGUCUUAGGAUUGUAAAAUUCUUUCACCGGGGACGAUAAUGACGGUACCCGGAGAAGAAGCCCCGGCUAACUUCGUGCCAGCAGCCGCGGUAAUACGAAGGGGGCUAGCGUUGCUCGGAAUUACUGGGCGUAAAGGGAGCGUAGGCGGAUAGUUUAGUCAGAGGUGAAAGCCCAGGGCUCAACCUUGGAAUUGCCUUUGAUACUGGCUAUCUUGAGUACGGAAGAGGUAUGUGGAACUCCGAGUGUAGAGGUGAAAUUCGUAGAUAUUCGGAAGAACACCAGUGGCGAAGGCGACAUACUGGUCCGUUACUGACGCUGAGGCUCGAAAGCGUGGGGAGCAAACAGGAUUAGAUACCCUGGUAGUCCACGCUGUAAACGAUGAGUGCUAGUUGUCGGCAUGCAUGCAUGUCGGUGACGCAGCUAACGCAUUAAGCACUCCGCCUGGGGGAGUACGGUCGC